UGUAAAUGGAGGUUACAGGAGCAGCAGAUGCACAUGCAUAAGACUUGUUUAUCCUAAUUAUAAGACGAGGACUGAGAGGUCAGGGCUGGAACAGACGGGGGGUUCCAGCUAUAAAAGUUUGUUCCAGAGGAGGAAACACGGCUGACUCGGUAAAAGUGCAGCUCUGAACAGAUGAACAACGAGCGCUACCCUCAGUUAAUGACUUGUUAUGACAGGAAGUUUCUUCUGAAGUCCUGACUUCAGCGAACUCGUUUUGACGGGAACGACGGCGGGACGCGAAGGAGCGUUUCCUGUCAUCUUCCUCCCGUUCCAGGGCGCAUGUUCAAAACCAGCUAAAGCCAUAAGACGCGAUUCUGGUCAAUCUAUGAAAUGGAGAAAUGCUGUCUGAAAAAUAAGCUCUGUUGUUGCUGCAGACUCAACUGGGAACAAUUAUUCUUUAAAAGCAUCACUUGUAUCAGUCAGCUCACUGAAAAUGGGCAGAAUUGAUAUGGGAUGCAUUUCUAUGUAAUUUAAAGUUUGGGUUAUUACUUGAAGCACUGAUGAACCAUCAGGAGCAUCUCCUUUAAUGCCUCGGAUUAAAGCAGCCCUCUGUUUGACAUGUGGACAGAAGCUCCUCUCUCUGCUGAGCCACCACCAUCCUCUUCUUUUUAAAGCAUGACUCAUCGCUGCUCUCGGCUUCUCACUUUAAUCCACUAACGACCCCGAGCUUCCCUUUAGUCACUUUUUGCCUUCAUCUCAUUCGUUGCUCUUAAUUGCCUCCCUGUAACGGCCUCUUUCUGUUCCUCUGUGCACGAAAGAGUGAGUAGAUCUGCACUGUAGAGAGCUAUUCUCAGAAAGGUCUUUGAUAAUUUAAGUGUGUGUCUGUGUGCGUGCGCAUUA
This is a long non-coding RNA of Pundamilia nyererei, 879 nucleotides long. RefSeq lists it as uncharacterized. The transcript is spliced from 3 exons. The record is from RefSeq and is a predicted model, not a curated record. NCBI's taxonomy places the organism in Eukaryota, Metazoa, Chordata, Actinopteri, Cichliformes, Cichlidae.